AAGUCGUAACAAGGUAUCCGUAGGUGAACCUGCGGAUGGAUCAUUAACACUAAAAAACAAAAACGUUGCUCCUAAAAAAAGCAAUAACCCCAUUAACUUUGCGAACUUGUCAACGGGGGGGAAGAGGAAGGAAUUUCUCUUUUCUUUCCCGUUCGUUUUUUUCUCCUUUUCACCUUUGAUUAUUUAAACCCCAUCAUCAAUUCAUUUUGAUGACAAAACAAAACAAAACAAACUUGACUAAGACAAAAACAAAUGAGAAAACAAAAUAAUACAACUUUUAACGACGGAUAUCUUGGCUCUC
This 301-nucleotide unclassified non-coding RNA is filed under the name fungal sp. Its description in RNAcentral is "partial internal transcribed spacer region". The stretch from base 1 to 46 matches the Rfam family "Eukaryotic small subunit ribosomal RNA", at positions 1786 to 1831 of the family's 1831-position model. The record is from RNAcentral. Lineage: Eukaryota; Fungi.